RNAcentral lists this ribosomal RNA (484 nucleotides) under uncultured bacterium. RNAcentral describes it as "partial 16S ribosomal RNA". It matches the Rfam family "Bacterial small subunit ribosomal RNA", at positions 30 to 507 of the family's 1533-position model. The record is from RNAcentral.
AUUGAACGCUGGCGGCAGGCCUAACACAUGCAAGUCGAGCGGAUGAAGGGAGCUUGCUCCUGGAUUCAGCGGCGGACGGGUGAGUAAUGCCUAGGAAUCUGCCUGGUAGUGGGGGAUAACGUCCGGAAACGGGCGCUAAUACCGCAUACGUCCUGCGGGAGAAAGUGGGGGAUCUUCGGACCUCACGCUAUCAGAUGAGCCUAGGUCGGAUUAGCUAGUUGGUGGGGUAAAGGCCUACCAAGGCGACGAUCCGUAACUGGUCUGAGAGGAUGAUCAGUCACACUGGAACGGGGACACGGUCCAGACUACUAAGGGAGGCAGCAGUGGGGAAUAUUGGACAAUGGGCGAAAGCCUGAUCCAGCCAUGCCGCGUGUGUGAAGAAGGUCUUCGGAGUGUAAAGCACUUUAAGUUGGGAGGAAGGGCAGUAAGUUAAUACCUUGCUGUUUUGACGUUACCAACAGAAUAAGCACCGGCUAACUUCGUG